Molecule: ribosomal RNA, 261 nt
Filed under: uncultured archaeon
Lineage: Archaea
Description: partial 16S ribosomal RNA
Rfam family: Archaeal small subunit ribosomal RNA
Source: RNAcentral
CAGCCCUAAACGAUGCGCGUUAGGAGUAUCGGUGACCACGAGUCACCGAGGUGCCGAAGGGAAACCGUGAAACGUGCCGCCUGGGAAGUACGGUCGCAAGGCUGAAGCUUAAAGGAAUUGGCGGGGGAGCACCACAACGGGUGGAGCCUGCGGUUUAAUUGGACUCAACGCCGGGAAGCUUACCGGAUAAGACAGCGGAAUGAUUGCCGGGCUGAAGACCCUGCAUGACCAGCUGAGAGGAGGUGCAUGGCGUAGUCGUGU